Molecule: long non-coding RNA, 1970 nt
Organism: Ahaetulla prasina
Lineage: Eukaryota; Metazoa; Chordata; Lepidosauria; Squamata; Colubridae
Exons: 2
Source: RefSeq, a predicted model, not a curated record
AAAUGAACCGUACCACUUUCAAAAAUCCAAAGUAUUAGGAAAACUUAAACCAAGCUUUUUCUUCAGCCAGGCUGAAGGGAAUGAAACGAGGAGAAACGCCCGUGAACUUAACUCUUGUCACAAUCGGCUCUUUUUCCAAUGAAAUCCUUCAUACCCACAGAGAGGAGAGGCCUCCGGAUGAAAGGAUCGUAUUUUCUUCUGCGGAGGAAACAUGAGAGUGUCCCGGCGUUAAAGUCUACCGCGACUAUUCAGACAUUCCCACCAUGAAUUUAAGAACUUGGCCCAGGCGGAUCACUCUGGAUUAAUCUCGUAACGAGAAAACAGAAGCAUACAUGCGACGGUGGCUGGGUGGUGGUUGUGGUUGUCCCCCCCCCCCCCCGGCAGUGGGUGGCCGGAGGGAAGCGGGACUCCCCGGCCUUAACCAGAGGAAAAAUUAAAUUAAAUUAAAAAGGCGACCCAUUUUGGUUUUGGCCUCUCUCUUCCCCUCCCCUCCCCUUCCACGCUGCAGGGAGAGCCGGCCACGGAGGCGAGGGGCAGCUCAGGCGAAGAGUAAACCUCGUUGUGGCGACAAGCGGGAAGCAAGCGCGUCUUUGCAACUCGGCGUGAUUUCGCGCCUGGGUUGGGGCGCUGCGGCCAGGAUAGAAUUUUACGGAGAGGAAAAGAGAAAGGGAGAUUCCCUUGCUGGACGGAAGAAAAUGAGUUGUUGCUUCUCUAGGAAGUUUAUGGUGGUUCCCAUCAGUGGAUUACAGAAGAAAUGGAUCUACAGGAUUGAUUCAAAAAGACCAAUUAAGAAAUAGUAUGCUUAAUGAAGUUCAAAUCCUAUGUUGUCCACAGAUUCACCAAUCUGGAAAUGUUAAAUUCAACAUACCAUAGUACUUGUAGUAAUAAUAAUAACAAUAGCAAUAUCAGUCUCAGUUUUCAGCUUUAUUUUCAUGCUUUUAACAUUUUGGAGGAGGUUUUGAUUUGUUUCUAAAUUGGGUCAUAUGUACCUCAUAAAGCAUGUUAUCUAUUUAAAAUUACUUUUACAUUAUGUUCUCUAUUUAUUUAUAUUUCUAGAACCAGAGUCCUAAUCCUAAUCCAUGCCAGUUUGGAUUGCUCUAGCUAUCAGAGAGUGAAAAAGAAACCUACUUAAUGGCAAACCACAUGAUUAGUAUAACAUGCAGUGUGAGCAUAGACUAGCUUGCUGUACGUUCUUGCAAUUUUAACUUAAUUCACCAAGUUAAAUGAGCUCUGAGUCUCAGGAUCUGCUUUAAGUGGAUUCCUGAAAAUAGGCACAUGGUUUCCCACAAUUUUGCAAUGACAAUAAUAUAAGUAUUAAGAAGCCUUAAUAUAUUAUAAAACAAAACAAAACACCCCUGCCCCUGAUUCUUUGUCAUGAAACACUAGAGCAAACAAAAUUCUGAUUCCAUCCAUAUGAACCUAUUUUAUUGCCUUCCUUCUGCUAUCUUAUCCUUCCAAAAAUACUAUAUAAUGUCCUACAUCACUGUAAAUUGGUUUCCUCUGUAUUUAAACCCAUAUUUGAAAAUUAUGAUUUUAAAAGAAUAUAUAUAUAUAUAUAUAUAUAUAUAUAUAUAUAUAUAUAUAUAUGUAUGUAUGUAUGUAUGUAUGUAUGUAUGUAUGUAUAUGUAUAUGUAUAUGUAUAUGUAUAUGUAUAUGUAUAUGUAUAUGUAUAUGUAAGUAUGUAUAUAUGUGUGAUUUCUAACCCCUAAAAGUAGUUUAUUGCAUAUUACUGUAGUUUUAAUUCUAAAAGCAUUUUAGGAUUAACGUUUACUGAUUUCCCCACUCUUCUACAUUGUUUAGUCAUUGCCUCAGUGACAGUUGAAUGGAAUGUGACUUUACUAAAAAUAUUCCCAUUUAUGCAUGUUUUUAGCAGUGUUUGGAUAUUCUCAUCUCCAGCCACAUUUUUUUUUAAAAAAAUUAAAUUCUACUGUAUAAGGGUCUGUGCGUUUAAUAAAUGUAAUUAGCCACAG